UGUACAUAGUAUCAGGAAGGAAAAAAGGUGUAUGACCAGUAGCUCAUUCAAUGCCAUCCAGGCACAGCCGCUGUCCUCUACGGCAUUUACCCUCUUCAUCUCCAGAGCGGCAACCGUCUCGGCACUCUCAUCGAGAUGGACAACCGCAUUCUUGGCACUUCCAUUGUGCCGUUCAUUCUUCGCGGCAUUCUCUUUCUCCUUCCCGUGUAUAAAGUAUCAGGAAGGAAAAAAAGCCGUGUACAACUUCUGCUUCUCCAUCCUCAAAUUCUUCGGAGGGUUCUACCUCCGAAUUGUCCCGACAACAGCGGUUCGAUGACUACGAAUGUAAGUUCAAAGAGAUCGAUUGUCAGCUUGUCUGACUUCAGGUGGAAGGUCAGAAAUCUUUCAAUGACUAUGAUUUUCGUACUGCCCAACCUCUCUCUCAGCACAUACUGGAUAAAUCGAUUUCUGUCUCGAUUCAAGAUGCCAUAGAUGGAGCCAUACGAUGGCUUCACCGAUUCAAUCGAUCAUUUGGAGAGUUAUAAGGCUCUCAUAAUGAUUCAGAGGACAAUCGACGUCCUCUUAUGCAUUGGUCCCGACAACUAUUCGAAAGGCUGUUCGAGCCUAGUAUUUUAGGCUUCAGCUGAGGAGUAUCAACUCCUUCGAGCAGCUCGAGCAUUCUUUCGUGAUC
This 670-nucleotide long non-coding RNA is filed under the name Elaeis guineensis (African oil palm). Its description in RNAcentral is "long non-coding RNA (EGUI_LNC010926)". Lineage: Eukaryota; Viridiplantae; Streptophyta; Magnoliopsida; Arecales; Arecaceae. The record is from RNAcentral.